AUCAGGGGAUAAAGAAUUCGAGGUGUACGCGACGAACGGAAAACCCACCGGGGUCGAUGGGUUUUUUUCGUUUCGCACACAAGCCGUAUUCCUCAAUUCUUAUUGUCUGUACCACUUUAUAGAGCCAAACUGUAUUCGUUUGUCAUCAACAAUGCAUCCAACACCAGCCGCAGACUGUGCGAGGAGGGAUUGAUUUCGAACUUAGCUGGCAGACCUCACUAGAAUGACUGUCUUCUCCCGGUUCGGUUGCCUUGGGAACCCCACUCAAAUGCUACAUGAGCUUGGUCGGGCAGUGGAGCGUGCGCGGCAUUGGAAGUCCACUUUCAAGCGGCAAUUCUUCCUCGCGGCAGUUUCGCUGGGGAAGUGUGAGCCCGGCAGCCAGCUGGUGGUCUACAAGGAUGGCGUGGAGUACACCACACUCGGGGAAAGCCGCUCAUCCGAAUCUGGUCCGAAGUUGGUCCGAAGAUCUGUCCAAAACCUGAUCCGAAGCCUGGUCCGAAAGACCAUCCGAAGCUGGUCCGAGUUCCUGUCCGAAAGACCCCACCCCUGUCCGAAGUUUUUGUCUCCGAAGCUGGUCCGAAGUCGGUCCGAAUCUGGUCCGAAUAGCAUCCGAAUUACAAGUAUUUCGGACACUUUUGUCGGAUGCCAAGAUUCGGACGCAAUGUUCGGACCAGACCGGCCAUCCGAAUGGCAAUUCGGACGCGCCCAGCCCCAUUUCGGACACGCCCAGCUGUUGAUUCAGACGCGCCCAGCCCCAUUUUGGACACGCCCAGCUGUUGAUUCGGACGCACCCAGCCCCAUUUCGGACAUGCCCAAGCGUCAAUUUGGACACGCCCAACACCAUUUUGGACGCCACCACCACCCGCUGCUGCCCAGUGCCCCGCCUGCUGCGCUUUUGUGGUGUCUACAGACACCGUUGCAUGUCCUGUCAUGCCCUUGUCAUGUAGCAGCGGCUCCCCUGCCCUUGUUCAACCCUGUACACAUACCCUUUUUGCUUGCUCCUGGGUCCCUUUGGCUACCUCGUUGCGCUCCUCGGCCCCACACAUGCGCCUCCAUGUUUGCGCACAUCCCUAUGGCACCCAAAUGGUGGUAAGGAUCCAAAAACGGGGGUGACGAUCCCCGGACAGGGGGUAACGAUUGUUUCGGGCCCGCACGGCCUGGCACGCCCAGGACGCAAGCCAAGUGGUGCUGUGGUCACAUCUUAGCUACUUGUCAUGCAUACGCACAUUGCAGACUGGGCGGAGUGCCUUGCGUCUCCGACAAGUGAACAUGCCGACAUUCUAGUCUGCAAAGUGCGUAUUGUAGUGACAGUUUGUGUUAAAACAGUCUAUAAUGUGAAGCCUUAAACUUAUGUAGUCUUUGCGCUCGUGAACGAGGAAGUCUGGGGGCUGUAGGCCGACUGUGUGACAUUGUGACAGGGACCCUUGGGCGUGGUAACGACCCUAAGCCAGGGGUAACGGGGUUCCUGCAUGGGGUUCUCGCGGGCCUGACUUAACAAGCAGCAUAGAGCGGCCCCUGAUACUAAUACACAUAUACUGAUAUAGUACCAUACAUAUACUGAUACACUGCACUUCAUGCCGGUGCCGCUGCACUUCUGUUCCUCUCCCCCACUUUGCUCUCUCGCGCUUGCUACUUCUCUUUGUAACACAAAUUUAUGCUAGCUCAAAUGUCAGUAGAACAAGAGCUGGCGGCAGACGCUGCUUGGCUGGCUUGGGACGCGAGUCCUCACGCUGCUGACUGCUCGUUGACCGGCUUGGCAACGCUGCUCACACGUCAGCUGCAGCCAGCUAUUACUUGAGAGAAACGACUAUGCCUCAUAAUCUAUCAGCUGCGCUUCAAAUGUCCGACCGAGAAGUCUCGGCGGUCGCCGGCGUCAACAACGCCAUUCAACAUCGUGUUCUGUCAACAUCACCCUCGCCCCGCACGCCAGAGUCCGCAGGUUAGUCUGCAGGUUAGUCCGCAGGUUGAAUGACGAUGGGAUGCGUUGAACCUAGUGGUACCUCGCAAGCCAGUGUGCAUGGUUCAUCUUCUCGCGCUGUGUUGGGUUGUUUGGUGGAGCCCCCGCCUACAACUAGUGACUGUCUGCUGCCUCCCUUACCAGCGCUCGCUGUAAGGUGUUUUUAUGGCUCCCUUGCCACGGUGCCUUGUGUCUCACAUACCACCCCGCCCCCCUCCGCACGCACACACCCUGCCCCGCGACAGCUUGCUGCCCAACCCCUGUUGUACCCUAUGGACCGUAUGGUUGGCUGGACUGCCCCUACACCUCCAGCAUUGUGCUCAUCAACGGUGAGUGUCCGUGACACGUGUGGGCGCGCACACAUGCACAUGUGCACACAGACACGCCUUGUGUGGUAGGCCCCGUGCACUGCCAAGCACUCUGUCCAUGGCUGGCCUUGACAUGCAUUGGCACCUACCCGUCUUGUGGCAGACGAUUAACUGGGUGUGUCUAUGUGUGUGCACGCAUGCAUGCAGUCGCUGCCGGUGGAAGCAAAACUACAGGAGCCAGCGUGACACCAGCUGUCUGGCGCUAGAGAUGGAGGCGGGCGCGGCGGCGCCAGUGGCAUAGUUUGGCAUGGUAGCUGUGGUGGCGGCGGGCGUCAAGGUGGUGGGUCAGAGACGUUGUGCCCAGCAGACAUGCAAGUGGUUGCUGCCAGUGGCUAGUUGCACGUUCACAUGCAGACAUGACUAGGCGUAUUGUUGCAUGUACAUAUGGACUUGCGGUAGUGUUGCAUAAGUGUUGCAUGAGCAUCUGCACUUGUCGUGCUAUCAAGCCUUGACAGAUGGCUAGCAUGUGGAGUAGCGGUAGGACUACAUAGUUCUUACGUUAGUACUGAGGUAGGCCUUCAGCAAAGCACAAGGCUGCCAUGUAACGGGCGUCAAAGUGAUGGUUACUGGUGUGCCUUGUAGACCGUGACAAGGCUGUUACCAUGGCUGGUUAAGAUGGUAAGCAGAUCGUAGUGAGAUCGUAACGAUGCCGGAGGGGUAACGAUCUACGACCUAGGUAACAGCGAUCGUAACGAUCGUUUGGGUGCCAUAGGGCAUAUCACCUGCAUACACAGCACCACCGGCGUUGCAAGAGGCAUGGUGACAAGCCUUUCCCCGAGAUACAUGCUGUAUCUCACAUGCUGUAUACAUGCCCUGUCCGUUGAGCUGCCCACUGCACACAUGUCUUGGUGCUCCUUUUCAUGUGGAUUGCAUCACGAAAUCUGACUUACCACCAAAAUGCAAAAGCGCCAUUGCCAGCAGCACAUGCACCGAUGAGACGAAGGUUGACAUGAGAAUAAGGCGGCCGGGGAAUUGCAAGCAGAUAUUUGCAUGCAUAAGCAAUUGCAAACUAUUAGGACCCCGUGCGAAAGCGCAGGCAGGGCAGACGAAUGGUUGUUGACCGCGACAGGAAAACACUGCUGUAGACGUUUUGAGCUGAUACAAUGCGAGUUCUCAGUCAGAAACUUACAUUCUUGGGCCUUGAGCCUGUUUGGCCUUGAAUUUUGUGCAGGUCGGCGAAGGUCAGCGACAAAGGCCUCCACUUUGACCAAGUUUGUAGCACCUCCGCCAACCCCUCAGGCAUGCUCGCAAGCUUGUGUCUAACAUAGUUGCUAUGAAAUAGCAUCGUGCAGUAUCAUAGAGGGUUUGAGAACGUGGAACACUGCAUGCCGAUAUCGCUUGCAACAGAGAUAGGCUGUAACAGGCUAGCGAUACAUUUAACAACUUGUUAGUAUUAAAUCUGUAGUGUAUAGUAUGAGUCUUAUAAGAGAUCAUACUAUUAAGUUGAGAAGCUGAAUGUCGGGUCUCCCCAUGCAGCAGCGCUGCCCCAUUGCGCAUGCCAGCUCGCCUCCCUUCUGGUAAUGCCAUUGCUAGGACGCUUAAUCCAAUGUAUGCGGCUGCGUCGGAUGCGGGCAUGGGAUGCAUGUGCCUGCCGCUCAGAUGGGGCCACACAAGCAGGCCACGCCCGGAAACAAGGUUUCCCACAGUGCAUGCACACAGAACACACCCCGUUGGGCUGCCCGCGUGGAGACACACGCAGUUGGGCAUUGCGCUGUGUUGGGCCAAGCGAUGGGCGCUGGUUGCGUCGGAUGCGGGCAUGGGAUGCAUGUGCCUGCCGCGCAGAUGGGGCCACACAAGCAGGCCACGCCCGGAAACACAGUUUCCCACAGUGCACGCACACAGAAGACACCCCGUUGGGCUGCCCGCGUGGAGACACACGCAGUUGGGCAUUGCGCUGUGUUGGGCCAAGUGACAAACAACAAGCACACGCCCACGCCCACAGCCUUGCCCUUGCUCACACCCUUGCACUUGCCCCUGCCCCUGUACACGCAAACGCGCACGCAUGCACGCAAGCACGCAUGCACGCACGCACACAGGUGCACACCCACGCGCACGCACACGCACACGCGCCCGCACAAGCGUGCACACACACCCACAAAUGCACAAGCUCAUGCUCACGUACGCACAUACGCGCACCUCGUGUACACACGAGCACACGCAUACACAAGCCCACAUAUGCACACACACACACUGUCCUACACGUAAUGUUUUCCUUGUGCUCUUUAACACACACACACACACACACACACACACACAUGCGCACACACACACACACACACACACACACACACACACACACACACACACACACACACACACACACACACACACACACACACACACACACACACACACACACACGCCUUUGGCAGAAGGUACGCUGGGAACGGUGACACUUUGAGACGCUGUGGCGGUUGGCCAUUGACGCAGUGCCGCUGCCGGGAAACUCGCAUACGCCGUUGGCUCGCCGUGAGCCAUGCGGCUGUGGGCAGCACGGCCAUGGGGGCGCCGCGGCGGAGGCACACGCCGCCGCCGCGCCCACGCCAUGGCAGCACCACUUCUGGGAUUGCGCGGUGGCGAAGGCCGUUGUGGCGCAGAUCAACGCACGCAACCCCGGUCCGGCUCCCAUCAGCCAAGCCCAGCUGUGGCUGGUCCAGGCGCCGCCGGGUUUUCAGCAGUGUGUUUGGGACGUGGUGGUGAUGGACACGGCUGGGAGUGGAAUGCGUCUUUAAUGUCUACUAUCAAUAGCUACUCGGCAUUAGGUGAGGUGUGAGCAUCAGGGGAUAAAGAAUUCGAGGUGUACGCGACGAACGGAAAACCCACCGGGGUCGAUGGGUUUUUUUUCGUUUCGCACACAAGCCGUAUUCCUCAAUUCUUAUUGUCUGUACCACUUUAUAGAGCCAAACUGUAUUCGUUUGUCAUCAACAAUGCAUCCAACACCAGCCGCAGACUGUGCGAGGAGGGAUUGAUUUCGAACUUAGCUGGCAGACCUCACUAGAAUGACUGUCUUCUCC
RNAcentral lists this long non-coding RNA (5339 nucleotides) under Chlamydomonas reinhardtii. RNAcentral describes it as "long non-coding RNA (CREI_LNC000443)". Lineage: Eukaryota; Viridiplantae; Chlorophyta; Chlorophyceae; Chlamydomonadales; Chlamydomonadaceae. The record is from RNAcentral.